UUAAAUUGAAGAGUUUGAUCAUGGCUCAGAUUGAACGCUGGCGGCAGGCCUAACACAUGCAAGUCGAGCGGUAGCACAGAGAGCUUGCUCUCGGGUGA
RNAcentral lists this ribosomal RNA (98 nucleotides) under Klebsiella pneumoniae. RNAcentral's name for it is "partial 16S ribosomal RNA". It matches the Rfam family "Bacterial small subunit ribosomal RNA", at positions 1 to 93 of the family's 1533-position model. The record is from RNAcentral. Lineage: Bacteria; Pseudomonadati; Pseudomonadota; Gammaproteobacteria; Enterobacterales; Enterobacteriaceae. RNAcentral also lists the same sequence under 1 other name.